This is a long non-coding RNA of Oncorhynchus tshawytscha (Chinook salmon), 655 nucleotides long. NCBI's taxonomy places the organism in Eukaryota, Metazoa, Chordata, Actinopteri, Salmoniformes, Salmonidae. The record is from Ensembl.
GAGGGUAGGUUAGGUAAGUAGUGGGUAGGUAGGUUAGGUAAGUAGUGGGCAGGCAGGUAAGGUAGGAGAGGUUAGGUAAGUAGUGGGUAGGUAGGAGAGGGUAGGUUAGGUAAGUAGUGGGUAGGCGGGUAGGUAGGAGAGGGUAGGUUAGGUAAGUAGUGGGUAGGCGGGCAGGUAAGGUAGGAGAGGAUAGGUAAGUAGUGGGCAGGCAGGUAAGGUAGGAGAGGUUAGGUAAGUAGUGGGUAGACAGGUAAGGUAGGAGUGGGUAGGUUAGGUAAGUAGUGGGCAGGUAGAAGAGGUUAGGUAAGUAGUGGGCAGGUAAGGUAGGAUAGGUUAGGUAAGUAGUGGGUAGACAGGUAAGUAGUGGGCAGGCAGGUAAGGUAGGAGAGGGUAGGUUAGGUAAGUAGUGGGCAGGCAGGUAAGGUAGGAGAGGUUAGGUUAGGUAAGUAGUGGGCAGACAGGUAAGGUAGGAGAGGGUAGGUUAGGUAAGUAGUGGGUCGACAGGUAAGGUAGGUUAGGUAAGUAGUGGGUCGACAGGUUAGGUAAGUAGUGGGCAGACAGGUAAGGUAGGAGAGGGUAGGUUAGGUAAGUAGUGGGCAGGCAGGUAAGGUAGGAGAGGGUAGGUUAGGUAAGUAGUGGGUAGACAGGUAAGGUA